UACGAGAGGGGCAAGCGUUGUUCGGAAUUACUGGGCGUAAAGCGCGCGUAGGUGGCAAUGCAAGUCGGGUGUGAAUCCCGGCGUCAAACCUGGGAACUGCAUUCGAGACUGCGUUGCUUGAGUAUGGGAGAGGAAGUGGAAUUCCGGUGUAGCGGUGAAAUGCGUAGAUAUCUGAAAGGAACACCAGUGGCGAAAGCGGCUU
RNAcentral lists this ribosomal RNA (202 nucleotides) under uncultured bacterium. RNAcentral describes it as "partial 16S ribosomal RNA". It matches the Rfam family "Bacterial small subunit ribosomal RNA", at positions 524 to 727 of the family's 1533-position model. The record is from RNAcentral.